GCUCUGGUGGUGGAAUUGGUAGACACGCUGUCUUGAGGGGGCAGUGGCGCGAGCCGUGCGAGUUCAAGUCUCGCCCAGAGCACCA
Molecule: transfer RNA, 85 nt
Filed under: Woeseia sp.
Lineage: Bacteria; Pseudomonadati; Pseudomonadota; Gammaproteobacteria; Woeseiales; Woeseiaceae
Also listed under: 1 other name
Description: tRNA-Leu
Rfam family: tRNA
About the family: Transfer RNA (tRNA) molecules are approximately 80 nucleotides in length. Their secondary structure includes four short double-helical elements and three loops (D, anti-codon, and T loops).
Source: RNAcentral